GCCUGGGUGGCUCAGUCGGUUGAGCGUCUGACUUCGGCUCAGGUCAUGAUCUCACGGUCCGUGAGUUCGAGCCCCACGUCGGGCU
This is a transfer RNA of Felis catus (domestic cat), 85 nucleotides long. It matches the Rfam family "tRNA". Rfam says of the family: Transfer RNA (tRNA) molecules are approximately 80 nucleotides in length. Lineage: Eukaryota; Metazoa; Chordata; Mammalia; Carnivora; Felidae. The record is from Rfam.